UAUAAAUUGGCCUGGUUCCCACA
This 23-nucleotide non-coding RNA is filed under the name Rattus norvegicus (Norway rat). The record is from RNAcentral. Lineage: Eukaryota; Metazoa; Chordata; Mammalia; Rodentia; Muridae.